Molecule: ribosomal RNA, 301 nt
Filed under: uncultured bacterium
Lineage: Bacteria
Description: partial 16S ribosomal RNA
Rfam family: Bacterial small subunit ribosomal RNA
Source: RNAcentral
CAGUCGCCGCGGUAAAACGGAGGGAGCUAGCGUUAUUCGGAAUUACUGGGCGUAAAGCGCACGUAGGCGGCUUUGUAAGUUAGAGGUGAAAGCCUGGAGCUCAACUCCAGAAUUGCCUUUAAGACUGCAUCGCUUGAAUCCAGGAGAGGUGAGUGGAAUUCCGAGUGUAGAGGUGAAAUUCGUAGAUAUUUGGAAGAACACCAGUGGCGAAGGCGGCUCACUGGACUGGUAUUGACGCUGAGGUGCGAAAGCGUGGGGAGCAAACAGGAUUAGAUACCCCCGUAGUCCCUGUCUCUUAUAC